UGCUACCAGAACUGGAAUAAUGACCAGAGGGAGACGAGGCGUUUGUUACCAAUGAGCAAAGCUGUAAGACAAUAACAGCAGGUUAGCUAUCAACACAUAUGUGUGUUAGCGCAAGCGAAAUUAUUAUCACCUCCGAGUGGCUCCAGCUAACUCAGUCUGCAGUGUUGAGGAGUUUGCUACAUUCCCGGAACCAAUGCCCAUUUUAGCAAGUUCACUUCGUAAUUUAUCACGAUAACUCUGCUCCUUUUCUAACAUCAGCUGGAAUGUAUGAACACGUUGUGUCUCCAACUGACGUUUUUUCUCGUGCUAAAAUAUUUUUAUCUCUUUUUUUAAAAUAUCUAUUAAUAUCGUAAUUUUAUUUAAUAUUUAUCAGUUGGAGACGAAAUCAGUAAAUGACGGUGCUUUGACCAUUAAAAACGGAAAAGAAUGCUUAGGGAUAACAGAUAAAGCAGAAUAAUCAAGAACAUGAUUAACAGCAGAAGCAAGGGUACACAUAGUUGGGGUCCAGUUAUACGUGCAGUGCAAGGAGCACCACCAGCUGGUGCAGUUGAUGCUCGAUGCAAAGAAGUAGCGGAUUGUGAAGGUGAUACCAUUGUUGAUGCUGAUGAUAAACUCGUUGGUCUCGGCUGCUGAUGU
Microplitis mediator is the source of this 636-nucleotide long non-coding RNA. RefSeq lists it as uncharacterized. The transcript has 4 exons. Lineage: Eukaryota; Metazoa; Arthropoda; Insecta; Hymenoptera; Braconidae. The record is from RefSeq and is a predicted model, not a curated record.